UACGUAGGGUCCGAGCGUUGUCCGGAAUUAUUGGGCGUAAAGGGCUCGUAGGCGGUCUGUUGCGUCGGGCGUGAAAACUUACAGCUUAACUGUGGGCGUGCGGUCGAUACGGGCAUCACUGGAGUUCGGCAGGGGAGACUGGAAUUCCUGGUGUAGCGGUGAAAUGCGCAGAUAUCAGGAGGAACACCAGUGGCGAAGGCGGUUACCUGGAGCUUUGCUGACGCUGAUGCGCGAAAGCGUGGGGAGCGAUCCGG
Molecule: ribosomal RNA, 254 nt
Filed under: uncultured bacterium
Lineage: Bacteria
Description: partial 16S ribosomal RNA
Rfam family: Bacterial small subunit ribosomal RNA
Source: RNAcentral